ACAUGUUUUAUAUCGAACCAUUUCAACAGUGACACAACCAUCGGAGUAUCUAAAUUCACGAUCUUGCUAUAUCCUCCACCAACAUCCCUAUAGAAUAAACUACAAGACUAUGCUCCUAACUAAUCACUGCUGCCCUUCGCCUGACUCAGGUUUUGAAGCUUCCUUGAUUUCAUCCCCAGCAUCAUCCUGGAACCAGAAUAGUUUACAACAAAAACGCAUUCAACAUCAACAUGUCAGCAGUUAAAACAAGUGUAGUAUUCUAGAAUUUAGCAAUCAGGCACUAGCUAAUCCAUUGACAUACACAAGAUAAUAAUUUUUUUCUAGUGCAUGGGACGUACGUGCGUGUGUGCGCGCGCGCGUGUGUGUGUGUGAGAGGGAGAGAGAGAGAGAGAGACGCGCGCGCGCGCGUGUGUGUGAGAGGGAGAGAGAGAGAGAGAGAGACCGCAUUGUCUGAAGUCCAAAGGGUAAGAUUGUCUCGGAGAAGUUGCAUGAUCAAUGUACUGUCCUUGUAAGAUUCCUCACCCAGUGUAUCCAACUCUGAGAUAGCUUCAUCAAACGCCUGCAAUUGCAAUCAAACAUCAUCGCUUAUAAAUAUCUCCGGUAAUAAUAAGAGCAUAUUUUUGUCUUUACCUUUUUUUUAAGAUAUGUAUAUAUAAAUUAAAAAGAAAAUUCAGUACAAGAGAACUGUUCUGCGCUCUUAGCAAGAUUCUAGAAAUUCUAGGAUUAUUAAUUAUUAGUCUUUACUUUUCUAUUCUUGCAGCUUUAGCAAGGACGGAAAACUGUGGCUAUCUCUUGCCCCUAAGAAUGCUUUUUAGUUUGAUCUUCUUCUUGGAUAACGCUAUUGAACUACUGAGAAACUAAGAAAAAGAAGAGUACUUCAUUACAAGCUAGUGCUUUCCAAUGUUGUGGUCACACGGAAAGCUAAGGCUGACACUCAAAAGCCAAUAUGUUGCAAAUUUACCACUACAAUAGGGAAUAAAUUUGAUUGAAUUAGUUAGAUUAUGCCAAGCGUUGUUCAAGCAAAUGAUGCUAUGCUAUAGCAAGCAAAACUAGGAAGAGUAAACUAUGGGCAGUGGUUCCUCAAGCUGUGAUAUGGAAAAUUCGGAGAAGAAAUAGGAGACCCUCCAGAAUUAAGUUCUCAUACCACAACUUGUGGGACUCAUAUUUUUGUAUUGUAAUUCUUGGAGCACUAAUUGUACAGAUUUGUAUAAGUGAUGUUUUUUUCCUGGAUAACCACUAUUUCUAUAUAGCCCUAUGGUCAUGUGUACGUCUUGCAUAAAGGCAUCUCUCUCUGUCUUGCUCUCUAUGGUAUGGUAGAGAGUACUGGCCAAAAAAUAAGAAACGGGGUGCAUGGAAAAAUAUGCUAGUAUUAGUCUAUCACUUUGGUUGACUUAAUUGCACACAUGGUUAAUAGAAAUGCCUUAAAUGAUAUAUGAUGAAGAGUUGUCGUCAUUGUGUGAGCAGUGGAGGUGAUAUAGAGAAAUUCAUUAUCACACCAGUUUUCAAGGAUUUGCCUUGUGUUAAUUAAUGAAGCUACUGAGAGGGAGUCAAUCAAAUGCUUGAACUUGGAGGAGCACGGUCGAGAGUAAGAAUAUUAGUACAAAUAAAAUGAGGCAGAAUAUACUCACUGCGAGUUUGACUCCCAUGAUGAAGUUAGAGCAAGAUUAGAUGAAAUUAUGGGUCUAAAUAUAGGUAAAUUCAGGAAUCUAGGCCUACUGUCUCACUAGAAUAUGAAAAUGAAAUACAUAAAAGUUAAAAUAUGAUGGGUAAGAUGGAGGAGUAUUAUGGUAAUGCCAUAGGAAAUGCCUAAACUAGCGAAAGGCAAGAUUUGUAGAGUGACUGACACUAACAAUGUUAUAUGAGAACAAAUGUUGGUUUACAAGAUAAGUACUAUAAAAAUGCAAAUGCUAGGAAAGAUGUGCAACCAUACAGGAUUAGAAAUGAUAAACUUAGACCGAGUGUACAAGUAGCACAUUUACGACAUAAGACGAGAAGUUGACUGGGAUGGUUUGGUAAUAGCCUCACCAUAUCCAAGGUUCCAUAGGUGUAGGAUAACUGAAGGGGUUAAAGACAAUAACGUAGAUCUAAAAUCAUAAGUUAAGAUUUGUCUCGAAAGAACUACAAUCAUUCGGCAUCAAUGCAGAUAUUGGAAAACAGAACCCAGUGGAAGAAAAAGAUUCAUAACAAUGACCACCAGCUAGUUACAGCUGUAAAUAAGACGUUAUGUAGGUACAAUCACGCCCAAUUUGGUUUUAUUAGUUCUUUUAGAAAUUUGUAUGUCCAUACAAAAGCAAAGAAAUCCUAGCAUUAGAGAACCCCCUAAUUGGUCCCUUUUUAAAAUAAGGAGAAUCCCUAAUUGGUUAUAAGAAAAAACUUACUGAGUAUUCAUGAAAGAUUAUAAGAGAAUCAAAAUAAAUAUUGAAGGUUAAUAUAGCCAAUCCCAACUAAUUAGGGUUGAAACAUAGUAACGGUGGCUGUUAUAAUAUAAAACAAAUUCUGCCUAAGUUUACAAAGUUAAGUAACAAACAUUCCAAAAUAUUCAACCAAGAGGAGAAAAAAAGGAAGGGUAGAUAAUUCUAUCAUCAAAGUUAGAUUCUAAUUCUCAGCCUACCACUCUAAUCACGCGGCCAAUCAAAUGGUUGUGUUCGGGCACAAACAAAAGCAAUUAGGCUGCAUUAAAUAUAGGUUUAGAAUUAUGAAUUCCCACAUAAUUCCUAUUUAUAAACUACAUAAAUGAAAUUACUCUCUUUCUAUAGACUAGUCCAUGCAAUUUUCUUGUCUCAUCAGUCAUCGAGUAACAGAAAAAUAUGUAUCACCACAUUAAAGGUACAAAGAUAGCUAAUUCUAAUGGAAACACAGCAAUGUAACACGGAAUGAUCAGACAAACCAUCACCCUAUGUUUAAAAAGGAUGUCCACAACUAACUGCACCUAAUUAAAGAAUUUAUUGCUAAAGAUUUUUCUGCUAGGAUAUACACAAGGAUAAAAUCAUGAACAAGCUUCAAUUGAAAUUUUUGCAAAGAAAACUGAACAGGAAAUCAGGGAAAGAACACAACAGGAAUAGGCUCCCCUUCCAGUUUGAAACAACAACAACAACAAACCCAGUGUGUUCCCACAAAGCGGGGACUGGGGAGGGUAAAAUGUACGCAGUCCAUACCGCUAUCUCCAAAGAAGUAGAGAGGUUGUUUCCAAUAGACCCCCGGCUCAAGAUAGAGAGUAGUAAACAAGAGCGUAAUGAAACAUAAAGCAUGAUGAAUGGCAUAACAUAAAAAGGGAUAAGACACAAUAAAAUAGAAAUCAAAGCAAUACGAGAUA
RNAcentral lists this long non-coding RNA (3313 nucleotides) under Capsicum annuum. RNAcentral describes it as "long non-coding RNA (CANN_LNC002841)". The record is from RNAcentral. Lineage: Eukaryota; Viridiplantae; Streptophyta; Magnoliopsida; Solanales; Solanaceae.